GAACGCGAAGAACCUUACCAAGGCUUGACAUGUUAACUGUGGCUCUAGAGAUAGGGUUUACCCUUUUGGGUGGUUUUCACAGGUGGUGCAUGGUUGUCGUCAGCUCGUGUCGUGAGAUGUUGGGUUAAGUCCCGCAACGAGCGCAACCCUUGUCCCGUGUUGCCAGCACGUUGUGGUGGGGACUCGCGGGAGACUGCCGGGGUCAACUCGGAGGAAGGUGGGGAUGACGUCAAAUCAUCAUGCCCCUUAUGUCUUGGGCUUCACGCAUGCUACAAUGGCCGGUACAGAGGGUUGCGAUACUGUGAGGUGGAGCUAAUCCCUUAAAGCUGGUCUCAGUUCGGAUUGGUGUCUGCAACUCGACACCAUGAAGGUGGAGUCGCUAGUAAUCGCAGAUCAGCAACGCUGCGGUGAAUACGUUCUCGGGUCUUGUACACACC
Molecule: ribosomal RNA, 437 nt
Filed under: uncultured bacterium
Lineage: Bacteria
Description: bacterial SSU rRNA
Rfam family: Bacterial small subunit ribosomal RNA
Source: RNAcentral